This 253-nucleotide ribosomal RNA is filed under the name uncultured bacterium. RNAcentral's name for it is "partial 16S ribosomal RNA". It matches the Rfam family "Bacterial small subunit ribosomal RNA", at positions 524 to 776 of the family's 1533-position model. The record is from RNAcentral.
GACGUAGGAAGCGAGCGUUGUCCGGAAUUACUGGGCGUAAAGGGCGUGUAGGCGGGGCGGCGCAUCCUGGAGUAAAUCCAACAGCUCAACUGUUGGCUCUUCUGGGAGAUGGCCGUUCUUGAGGACAGCAGAGGAAAGUGGAAUUCCCGGUGUAGCGGUGAAAUGCGUUGAUAUCAGGAGGAACACCCAUGGCGAAGGCAGCAAACUGGGCAUCAUCUGACGCUGAGGCGCGAAAGCGUGGGUAGCAAACAGG